GCUGUCGUCAGCUCGUGUCGUGAGAUGUUGGUUCAGUCCCGCAACGAGCGCAACCCGCGUGCGUAGUUAUUUGUGUCUACGCAGACUGCCGGGAGCAACCCGGAGGAAGGCGCGGAUGACGUCAAGUCGGCACGGCCCUUACACCUUGGGCUACACACACGCUACAAUGGCCGGGACAGCGGGCUGCAAGAGCGCAAGCUGGAGCCAAUCCCUGCAAACCCGGUCGUAGUUCGGAUCGGGGGCUGCAACUCGCCCCCGUGAAGUCGGAGUUGCUAGUAACCGCGGGUCAGCACACCGCGGUGAAUAUGUUCCCGGGCCUUGUACACACCGCCCGUCACACCAUGGGAGCGUGGGGGACCUGAAGUCGCGCUAAGCACGCGCCGAGGGUCAAUCGCGUGACUGGGGUG
This 407-nucleotide ribosomal RNA is filed under the name uncultured bacterium. RNAcentral's name for it is "bacterial SSU rRNA". It matches the Rfam family "Bacterial small subunit ribosomal RNA", at positions 1048 to 1482 of the family's 1533-position model. The record is from RNAcentral.